UCCACAGUGGGUGUUCCUGUUUAUGCUGUG
RNAcentral lists this non-coding RNA (30 nucleotides) under Mus musculus (house mouse). The record is from RNAcentral. Lineage: Eukaryota; Metazoa; Chordata; Mammalia; Rodentia; Muridae.